This 118-nucleotide ribosomal RNA is filed under the name Crocodylus porosus (Australian saltwater crocodile). The record is from RNAcentral. Lineage: Eukaryota; Metazoa; Chordata; Crocodylia; Crocodylidae.
CUGAGUGUCCAGGCUGGUUUGAAUUCACCUGAUUUGGUCCCUUCUUAGACAGUAACCCAUGCCAGACUGGCUAGCACUUAGAUGAGCGACCACUUUGGAAGCCCAGGUGUUCCUGAUA